GAGACUCAGAGGCCACUCCGUGUCCCUCAGGGCACUAUUGCUUUGGAAGUAAUGGCAGUGACCAAGACGGUCUGUUGGCACCUCAGAAAUGCCCUCCCCAUACUUACCGCAAGCUCCCAGGAGCUCAGAGCCUGACGGAUUGCCAGCCAUGUCCUCCAGGCUAUCACUGUCCUCUAUCAGGUCUAACCAGUUUUGAGGAUUAUCCAUGCCCAUUGGGAUACUGGUGUCCUGGUACAGGGGAUGCUUUCUUUUGUCCACCUGGCACUUCCAGGGUCCAGCCUGGUGCAAAAUCAUUGGAAGAGUGUGAUCCCUGCUCAGCUGGCUACUAUUGCCCAGACCCAGCACAGACAGGGCUACCUAACACCCAAGGAGUACCUUGUGAGCCUGGCUAUGAGUGCCCAGCAGGUGAUAAAAUCAUGCUCUUUUAUUUUAUUUCCAGCUGUUUAAGCCCAGACAAGUGAAGAGUGCAGAGCCAUGGCAUAUAGCAGUGAUUGGAGCCCAAUUCUUGCUGCUGCCCUUGGUGGAAAUGGCUACUGGUGGAGUGGCUUUAGAAGUAGAUUUAGUAACCUGAAGCUUUUUCCUGGUUUUUUGGCCUUUGAAUUCCCAUCUCCUCUUUCUCUGGCCUCCCUUCUUGUUCUCAGUUAGUUGGGAUUCCUAAAGGAGAUAUCCUUUAUCAUGCAGGGCUUAGAUAUUCAGGUGUGUUAGCAUUUCUUGCUUAACAGUAAAUUGGUUCUCUAUGCUCUUUUAUGAGCAAUAGGAAAAGUGGACUUUUUAUGGACAGUAACCUUGUUUUUCCACCAGGUUCAGUCAAUCCAAAGCCUUGCAGGCCUGGCUCAUACUGCAGUGCUCUCACAGCUGUGCCCACAGUGUGCCCUGCUGGGUAUUACUGUCCUGAAGGCUCAUCAACAUACAAUAGCCCUGAGCAGCUAUGUGUGUUCCCCUAUUACUGUCCCCUGGGCAGUGCCCACCCGCUGCCCUGUGAAGGAGGAUACAUGGCCCUCAGCUCACCUGGGCUAAGAGAUUCCUUUGAGAAGUUCUGCAGGAUCUGUGAUGCAGGCAGUUAUCAUAACGACUCUUUCAUCUCUGCUCCCUGUCAGCCCUGCCCAGCAGGCUUCAUCUGCCCACAAGGUGCUACCAGCUGUACCUGCCAUGGGCUGAACCGGGCUUUCCAGCACUCAGAUGCCUCCUGUAUCUGCCAGGCAGGUUAUAUUUACUAUGAUGAGCGAGGCAAGGAAAACUCUGACAGCAACAGUGACCAGGACUGCCGACCUCAGGUAAGCCUUGGCUUCACAAUGAAGUUGUUGCAUGACAUGGAUAAGAGAGUAGAUCAGUGCUUUGGGCACUGCUUCAGCAUCCGUGAGCAAUCGCAGCUCAGAUCACUGAACUGCUACAGACACAAGGAAGUGCUCUGGCUGCUUUGUUUGAUAGCCAUGACCAUUCCUUGGGGUAUAAUGUCACUUGGCUCCGUUCAUGGAAUAUUACAAGGCUAAAUUCAGUAAGGGCCAGAGGCAAAAGAUAUUUCUAUGCAAAGACAAUGGGAAGCAGCUAAAGCAUCUUAGAUGACUGAUGCAGGAAUUUAAACCUCCAUAUUUUCAAUGUGGGAUUCUUCAUUGGGGGCUGGUUGACAAGUUUGGGAAAUGAACUUGUCCUGAUCUUUUUCAGUGCUUUUCAAGUUGUCACCUAAUGGCCCCUUGUUGCAUUACCAUUAUGCUGUGUGUCAGUGACAAGUGGGGAAUUUCAGGGGUGCUGCUUCUCUGCUGAAACACUUGUGUGACACGGAUUGGAUGUGCUGGUUUUCCAGGUGGACGAGCUCUGUGCUCCUGGAGAGGUCCGUUUAGCAUCGACACGCCGGUGUGUUUUUCCUGAGCAAUAUGACUGCUCUCCAUCUUGUGGGCCUGCGGGUGGAGAGGUUAAUGCAGAGCUGGGCAUGUAAGUCUCAGCAGCCUCUCAUUAAGGAACGCUUCACAAUUAGUUCUGACUGGCUAAGUUGCUGAUGCCACGAGGUCAUUUCAGGGCAGGACUUUGGGAGGUGCUUUUGAGAAACUUUCCAUUGCUGGAGCUGCUCUGUGUGGAAAUAGUGUAAUGUGGUCCUUAGGUUAAGGAAGAAGCAUUAAAAACCAGUACUGGAUGAGCUGGACUGUGAGUUUGGUCCACCCUAUUUACUAUGAAUAUAGAGUAGCCCAUUCAUUAUAUGGAUUGUAAAUAAGAUUGAGGCUUGCUUGACCCUCAGCAUGUUGUAGCUGUUUAUUCAUGUAAGUAAUCAGA
This 2265-nucleotide long non-coding RNA is filed under the name Coturnix japonica (Japanese quail). Its description in RNAcentral is "lncRNA (ENSCJPG00005006638.1)". The record is from RNAcentral. Lineage: Eukaryota; Metazoa; Chordata; Aves; Galliformes; Phasianidae.